AUUGAACGCUGGCGGCAUGCUUUACACAUGCAAGUCGAACGGUAACAGGCCUUCGGGUGCUGACGAGUGGCGAACGGGUGAGUAAUACAUCGGAACGUGCCCAAUCGUGGGGGAUAACGCAGCGAAAGUUGCGCUAAUACCGCAUACGCCCUGAGGGGGAAAGCGGGGGACCGCAAGGCCUCGCGCGAAUGGAGCGGCCGAUGUCAGAUUAGCUAGUUGGUGGGGUAAAGGCUCACCAAGGCGACGAUCUGUAGCGGGUCUGAGAGGAUGAUCCGCCACACUGGGACUGAGACACGGCCCAGACUCCUACGGGAGGCAGCAGUGGGGAAUUUUGGACAAUGGGCGCAAGCCUGAUCCAGCCAUGCCGCGUGCGGGACGAAGGCCUUCGGUUGUAACCGACUUCUAGCCGGAAAGAAAUACGCUGACUUUAAUAGUAGGCAGUGGAUGACGGUACCGGAA
RNAcentral lists this ribosomal RNA (459 nucleotides) under uncultured bacterium. RNAcentral's name for it is "bacterial SSU rRNA". It matches the Rfam family "Bacterial small subunit ribosomal RNA", at positions 29 to 483 of the family's 1533-position model. The record is from RNAcentral.